Molecule: unclassified non-coding RNA, 357 nt
Filed under: Hevea brasiliensis (rubber tree)
Lineage: Eukaryota; Viridiplantae; Streptophyta; Magnoliopsida; Malpighiales; Euphorbiaceae
Source: RNAcentral
GUAGAAGGCAACUUCAACUUUCCAAGCAAAUCCUGAAUGAAGGUGCUAUCAUCUUUUAAGAGAGAUACAACAAUUGCAUUGUUUGACUGGAUUAUGGAAUUAAGGUUUGCAACUAUUGCAUCAUCCAACACUCUAGGCAAAAUGGCAUCCUUCAGAUAGCCAACUCGGUAUGUUUGAUGUAUCUUCGAUAGGACUAUCGAAUCUUUAAUAGAUAUAGCCUCCUUAAAGACCACAUGCUCUUUGAGAAAAUUGCGAUGAUGAACAUGAGGAGCAUCUGGAUCAUAUUCAAGACACCCAAUAAUAUCUAUUAUCAGCUCAUCACCAAAUAUUUUUUCAAAGAUCUGAGUGUUAUUGAGC